GAGACAGAGAUCCGAAGCCGGUGAGUCUCCGGUCACCGGCCUCCGGCGCGAAGCCGGUGAACCAUGAUGGCAGCAGUGACGGCGUCGUGGCUCGAAGUCGAAAUAGAGACCGCGGGGAGGUCGGUAGCUACGGUUACCACUUAGCAAGUGUUAUCUAUUUCGUUGUUUAGAAUGUUAUAGAGGUAUGGGGUAUUAAUGCCCAAUUAUUUGAGAUAAGACGUAAGGUGAUGUGAUGCUUGGUUGCACACUUGACUGUGUGCUUCUAGGCAACGUUUUGUGCAUUAUGUUCGCAUGAGGAGUCCUAACUUGAGUUACGAAUGUCGCUGUGAACGUAUCUUUUGCUUGCACAAGCGGUUAGCAUGCAACCAUGAUAGGAGUACACCAUAACAACAAUAAAACCUUCAGAGACAGAGAUCCGAAUCCGGUGAGUCUCAGAGACAGAGAUCCGAAGCCGGUGAGUCUCCGGUCACCG
This 472-nucleotide long non-coding RNA is filed under the name Helianthus annuus (common sunflower). The record is from RNAcentral. Lineage: Eukaryota; Viridiplantae; Streptophyta; Magnoliopsida; Asterales; Asteraceae.